GAUGAAGAACGGAGCGAAAUGCGAUAAGUAAUGUGAAUUGCAGAAUUCAGUGAAACAUCGAAUCUUUGAACGCACAUUGCGCCCGCCAGCAUUCUGGCGGGCAUGCCUGUUCGAGCGUCAUUUCAACCCUCGAGCCCCCCCGGGGGCCUCGGUGUUGGGGGACGGCACACCAGCCGCCCCCGAAAUGCAGUGGCGACCCCGCCGCAGCCUCCCCUGCGUAGUAGCACACACCUCGCACCGGAGCGCGGAGGCGGUCACGCCGUAAAACGCCCAACUUUCUUAGAGUUGACCUCGGAUCAGGUAGGAAUACCCGCUGAACUUAAGCAUAUCAAUAAGCGGAGGA
This 343-nucleotide unclassified non-coding RNA is filed under the name soil metagenome. Its description in RNAcentral is "partial contains 5.8S ribosomal RNA, internal transcribed spacer 2, and large subunit ribosomal RNA". The stretch from base 1 to 120 matches the Rfam family "5.8S ribosomal RNA", at positions 35 to 154 of the family's 154-position model. The record is from RNAcentral.